Molecule: ribosomal RNA, 436 nt
Filed under: uncultured bacterium
Lineage: Bacteria
Description: bacterial SSU rRNA
Rfam family: Bacterial small subunit ribosomal RNA
Source: RNAcentral
AGAGUUUGAUCCUGGCUCAGAGCGAACGCUGGCGGCAGGCCUAACACAUGCAAGUCGAACGAACUCUUCGGAGUUAGUGGCGGACGGGUGAGUAACACGUGGGAACGUGCCUUUAGGUUCGGAAUAACUCAGGGAAACUUGUGCUAAUACCGAAUGUGCCCUUCGGGGGAAAGAUUUAUCGCCUUUAGAGCGGCCCGCGUCUGAUUAGCUUGUUGGUGGGGUAAUGGCCCACCAAGGCUACGAUCAGUAGCUGGUCUGAGAGGAUGACCAGCCACAUUGGGACUGAGACACGGCCCAAACUCCUACGGGAGGCAGCAGUGGGGAAUCUUGCGCAAUGGGCGAAAGCCUGACGCAGCCAUGCCGCGUGUAUGAUGAAGGUCUUAGGAUUGUAAAAUACUUUCACCGGUGAAGAUAAUGACUGUAGCCGGAGAAGAAG